Molecule: long non-coding RNA, 2378 nt
Filed under: Daphnia magna
Lineage: Eukaryota; Metazoa; Arthropoda; Branchiopoda; Diplostraca; Daphniidae
Description: uncharacterized LOC116925302
Source: RNAcentral
GCUGUGAAAACGUCGUAAAAAUACUUUCAAUAACGAGGUCAAAUGAUUUUUUUUUUUCAGGGCAAUUAAAAAGUACUAGUCUACUUCUUCCGCAUAGGCUUUUUAAAUUGCAUGUGACCUUGCUAGCGAAGAAAUACACUUUUACGAGUCUUUAGAAAUGAGAGCGAAAAAAAGAACUGGCAACUUCUACAACUGUUGCACGCCCGUCAUCUCAUAAGUGCGUAGUAUAAAUCGUGAUAGUAUAUAUAUAUAUAUAUACACACAUAAAAAGAAGUUGCCUGGAUUCUCUCUCCUUGAACGAGAAAAAGAGGACACACACGAGUCUUGGCUCGGAUUGAUUUCUUCUAGGGCGUGUGUGUGUAAAAGGGGGUUCUUUUCUUGGGCGAAGGGCCAUCUUUCUUUGCCGAGCUUUUUUUUUUUCCUUAUUGAUUGGAUCCCAGAGUAGCCCUCCCACCACCCUACUACCUUGAACCCCCCGCCCCUCCACAACUCUCCUCUUUUUUUUUUUUUUUUUUGCUAGCGCGUGUCCUUAGGCCUAGAAAAAGAAGAGUGACCGUCACUCAGCCUCUUUGGCUCCACCCAUCUUCUGACUAAAAAGAAGUCUACCCUCUACUUUUCGGGUCACCGCGGGAGAUCUUGUCUCUCUCCCAGCCCUCCGCGAUGGAGGGGUUUUACCACCCCAUCUGAUGGGGGAAAAGAAAAAGGGAGGCAAAGUUGCCUCCCUCGCUUUUCUCGGUUGCGGUUGGCCGAGACGCAACUUGGAAGAAAAGAACUGUGGCGCCGCGCGCGCCUUCUUUUCCCCCCAUCAGAUGGAAAGAUCCACCACCCACUGACCGUCACCCAACGGGUGGAAUGGGGGGCCUUCUUUCCCCUAUGGUCAAGAACGUUCUUCUUUUGUUUCGAUUCUUUUUUAUAUUUCCCUCUUCGUUCUUUUUGGGGGGUUGUAAAAGAAAAAUAACACAAGAAGAAACGACGACCUGACGAUGACACGACAUUUUUUGAACCCUCGGAAUUAGUUAUUUUACCUGAGACGUUCUUCUGCAAGGCGCAAUAGAAAAGAGACGAAAUCGACGUCGCCAUUGUAGCCGAGUCGCGUUUUGAGAUCGGCCCAGUGGCGGGCGUUGUUCUUGCCUAUAUAGAUGGUGCGGGCGGGAUCGGUCGACGCCGGAUACGGAUACGGGUAACCACCUUUGGGUGGUCGACCUUUUCUCGGUCGCAUAAUCUGCCCAUCGGGACCGAUGGCGGCCGCUGCUGGCAUUUUUUACAUGUGUGGUGGUAUGACCUAAUAAAAGGGUGGGGACACCUGCUGCUGACCAAAAAAUUGAACAAAAAAAGAUGGAAAUGUUGAAUGCCAAAACUUCUUGUGUUGGACUUGUGUUGGGGGUCUAAAUUUACAAUGGCAACAAGACACCUUUAGAAAAAAAAGUCUUUGCGUCGGGUGUUCUCCAAGGUUAACCGAGAGAGCCCCCGAAGACGACGUCUUUUGCUCGUACAUACACAUUCAGAAAACGGCGAGAAUGAGAGAAUGACGAAAAACAAGUGGAUGGAAGAAAAACCAGAUGAAAAUAAGGAUGUCCUGCUGGCCACGGGGAGGAGGGGAAUCUACGCACACACACAUGCAUCUAUUUUCAAAAGAAAUGGCGUCUCUUGUUUUCAUUUUAAAAACUCCCGUCAAGUGCGUAUAUAUGUGUGUCUGGACACUCUUUAUACUUUUUACGUCAUCUUUUUUAAACGAUUCUUCGUGAAUAAAAAGAAGAAACCCAAUUUUCGUUGAUGGGCUCCAUACACGUCGGUACGUCGAACAUUUCCCGCGGGAUUCAAAAUGAAAAAGUUUUUUUUUUUCUCUCUACAAGAUGAUUGGGUGAGAAUCAAGUUCAUUGUUGACUCUUAAAAAAGUCUGAACGCGUAAAAAAUAAAAAGAAGCCUCAGCCGCCCGAGUCAGCAACUCCCCCCCAUUUUCACCCACCCAGGGCCCUCCUGCCGGGAGUCGGCCAUGUUCUUUCUUUUCCCCUCUCUUUUUCUCUCAGCAUCCGCUCUUUUUUUUUCUCUCUUCUUCUUCUUCUUUUUCGUCCUGAUAGGCUCUCCCCCUCCAUCCGUCGUCUGUGUUAAGAGCCUCGUACGUGUGUGCAGUGGAAUCAACUCCCCCUCCUCUUCUUUUUUUUUUCCUUCAUCAUCGGCGCAGGGUCCAGGGAGACUGGCCCGUCCGAUCGAUGCCGUGAACCUUUUUUCCUUUCCUUUUUCCUUCGUUUUCACCAACCCUCUUUUACGCAUCCUCCCGAUUUUUUUUUUUUUGCUUUCGUAAAACAUUUUAAAAAAUCUCGUAGUAAAAAUUGUUGAGAUAAAACAAACGCGCAGAAAAUAAAUGCGUUGUUACAUAA